GGGGAUUUAGCUCAGUGGUAGGGCGCUUGCCUAGCAAGCACAAGGCCCUGGGUUCAGUCCCCAGCUCCU
RNAcentral lists this transfer RNA (69 nucleotides) under Rattus norvegicus (Norway rat). It matches the Rfam family "tRNA". From Rfam's summary of the family: Transfer RNA (tRNA) molecules are approximately 80 nucleotides in length. Their secondary structure includes four short double-helical elements and three loops (D, anti-codon, and T loops). Further hydrogen bonds mediate the characteristic L-shaped molecular structure. tRNAs have two regions of fundamental functional importance: the anti-codon, which is responsible for specific mRNA codon recognition, and the 3' end, to which the tRNAs corresponding amino acid is attached (by aminoacyl-tRNA synthetases). tRNAs cope with the degeneracy of the genetic code in two manners: having more than one tRNA (with a specific anti-codon) for a particular amino acid; and 'wobble' base-pairing, i.e. permitting non-standard base-pairing at the 3rd anti-codon position. The record is from Rfam by way of RNAcentral. Lineage: Eukaryota; Metazoa; Chordata; Mammalia; Rodentia; Muridae.